Molecule: ribosomal RNA, 669 nt
Filed under: uncultured bacterium
Lineage: Bacteria
Description: bacterial SSU rRNA
Rfam family: Bacterial small subunit ribosomal RNA
Source: RNAcentral
UGACAGGGGGCACCUNAUCCAUCAUGCCGCGUGAGUGAAGAAGGCCUUCGGGUUGUAAAGCUCUUUUGUCAGGGAAGAAACACCGGCUCUAACACAGUCCGGGAAUGACGGUACCUGAAGAAUAAGCACCGGCUAACUACGUGCCAGCAGCCGCGGUAAUACGUAGGGUGCGAGCGUUAAUCGGAAUUACUGGGCGUAAAGCGUGCGCAGGCGGUUAUACAAGACAGGCGUGAAAUCCCCGGGCUUAACCUGGGAAUGGCGCCUGUGACUGUAUAGCUAGAGUGUGUCAGAGGGGGGUAGAAUUCCACGUGUAGCAGUGAAAUGCAUAGAUAUGUGGAGGAAUACCAAUGGCGAAGGCAGCCCCCUGGGAUAACACUGACGCUCAUGCACGAAAGCGUGGGGAGCAAACAGGAUUAGAUACCCUGGUAGUCCACGCCCUAAACGAUGCUGACUAGUUGUUCGGGAUUUACAUCCUGAGUAACGUAGCUAACGCGUGAAGUCAGCCGCCUGGGGAGUACGGUCGCAAGAUUAAAACUCAAAGGAAUUGACGGGGACCCGCACAAGCGGUGGAUGAUGUGGAUUAAUUCGAUGCAACGCGAAAAACCUUACCUACCCUUGACAUGUCACUAACGAAGUAGAGAUACAUGAGGUGCUCGUAAGAGAAAGUGA